RNAcentral lists this long non-coding RNA (319 nucleotides) under Homo sapiens (human). RNAcentral describes it as "non-protein coding lnc-CHRDL2-2:1". The record is from RNAcentral. Lineage: Eukaryota; Metazoa; Chordata; Mammalia; Primates; Hominidae.
AUGGUGAACAUUCCUAAAACCUGCCAGACUUUCCGUAAGAAGUGAGGCAAGCACCAACCCCACAAACUGACGCAGUACAAGAAGGGUAAGGAUCCACUGUAUGUCCAGGGAAAGCAGCAUUAUAACAAGAAGCAGAGUGGCUAGGGUGGGCAGACUAAGCCAAUUUUCCAGAAAAAGGUUAAAACCACAAAAAAGACUGUGCUGAGCCUUGAGUGCAUUGAGCCCAAUUGCAGAGCUAAGAGAAGGCUGACUAUUAAGAGAUGCAAGCAUUUUAAACUGGCGGGAGAUAGGAAGAAAAGGGCCAAGUGACCUAGUUCAA